Molecule: non-coding RNA, 190 nt
Organism: Oryza glaberrima (African rice)
Lineage: Eukaryota; Viridiplantae; Streptophyta; Magnoliopsida; Poales; Poaceae
Source: Rfam
UAUAGCAUACCAAUAAUACUUAGAUCGUCCGUCUUAUUUAAAUUUUUUUAAAAAAAUUUAAAACAUAAGUCACGCAUAAAAUAUUAUUCAUGUUUUAUCAUCUCAUAACAACAAAAAUAUUAAUUAUAAAAAAAAUUCAAAUAAAACGGACGAUCAAAGUUGGACACGGAAACUCAUGGUUGCACUUAAA